GACGAACGCUGGCGGCGUGCUUAACACAUGCAAGUCGAGCGGAGCGGCGAACGGGUGAGUAACGCGUGAGUAACUGCCCCCCUCUCUGGGAUAACAGUUGGAAACGGCUGCUAAUACCGGAUAGUGGGGGAUGACUCGCGUCCUAUCAGCUUGUUGGUGGGGUAGUGGCCUACCAAGGCGACGACGGGUAGCCGGCCUGAGAGGGCGACCCGCCAACGUGGGCUUGGAUACUGACCCAACGCCUACGGGGGGAAGGAGGGGGGAAUCUUGCCCAAGUGGGGAAACCCUGAUGCAGCAACGACGCGUGCGGGAUGACGGCCUUCGGGUUGUAAACCGCUUUCAGCCAUGACGCGGUAGUGGCAGAAGAAGCACCGGCUAACUACGUGCCAGCAGCCGCGGUAAUUC
This 405-nucleotide ribosomal RNA is filed under the name uncultured bacterium. RNAcentral describes it as "partial 16S ribosomal RNA". It matches the Rfam family "Bacterial small subunit ribosomal RNA", at positions 28 to 526 of the family's 1533-position model. The record is from RNAcentral.